RNAcentral lists this ribosomal RNA (838 nucleotides) under uncultured bacterium. Its description in RNAcentral is "bacterial SSU rRNA". It matches the Rfam family "Bacterial small subunit ribosomal RNA", at positions 64 to 887 of the family's 1533-position model. The record is from RNAcentral.
GUGCUUGCACUAAAUGAAACUAGAUACAAGCGAGCGGCGGACGGGUGAGUAACACGUGGGUAACCUGCCCAAGAGACUGGGAUAACACCUGGAAACAGAUGCUAAUACCGGAUAACAACACUAGACGCAUGUCUAGAGUUUGAAAGAUGGUUCUGCUAUCACUCUUGGAUGGACCUGCGGUGCAUUAGCUAGUUGGUAAGGUAACGGCUUACCAAGGCAAUGAUGCAUAGCCGAGUUGAGAGACUGAUCGGCCACAUUGGGACUGAGACACGGCCCAAACUCCUACGGGAGGCAGCAGUAGGGAAUCUUCCACAAUGGACGAAAGUCUGAUGGAGCAACGCCGCGUGAGUGAAGAAGGGUUUCGGCUCGUAAAGCUCUGUUGGUAGUGAAGAAAGAUAGAGGUAGUAACUGGCCUUUAUUUGACGGUAAUUACUUAGAAAGUCACGGCUAACUACGUGCCAGCAGCCGCGGUAAUACGUAGGUGGCAAGCGUUGUCCGGAUUUAUUGGGCGUAAAGCGAGUGCAGGCGGUUCAAUAAGUCUGAUGUGAAAGCCUUCGGCUCAACCGGAGAAUUGCAUCAGAAACUGUUGAACUUGAGUGCAGAAGAGGAGAGUGGAACUCCAUGUGUAGCGGUGGAAUGCGUAGAUAUAUGGAAGAACACCAGUGGCGAAGGCGGCUCUCUGGUCUGCAACUGACGCUGAGGCUCGAAAGCAUGGGUAGCGAACAGGAUUAGAUACCCUGGUAGUCCAUGCCGUAAACGAUGAGUGCUAAGUGUUGGGAGGUUUCCGCCUCUCAGUGCUGCAGCUAACGCAUUAAGCACUCCGCCUGGGAGUACGACC